AAUUCUAAUUUUCUUAUAAACUUGUAGCUAAACAAAACUUUUAAAGAAAAUUCACCUAGUUACAUUUUCAGCCAUUUAUCAUCCUUUUUCUUGACAUAUGCUAUUAUUAGAACAAAGAUGAAAUGGUAAAAUCUGAACAACCCGCAGUUCCUUUUUUUUUUUUUUUUUUUUUUGUAACACUUAACCCGCAGUUCCUUAAGUUUGCAGAAAAAUGAAUAUUUCAAAAAUUAAAACCCAAAUAAAAGAAGCAUAUCUCAGCCAUAUGAAAAGCAUAAACAUGUAAAACCUUGAACUAAAUGACUAGACCUCAAAUUAUUAGCAAUAAACUCAAACUUACAAUUUUCACUAACUUUUAGAGAACAUAUGAAAGAUGUUUAAGGGGAAUGUCCUCGGCAAAACCUUAAAAAAAACACUUCCUUCUAGAACAAAUAGGAAACACCUCAUGAACCAAGUAACCCUAACUUCAUAUACCGACAAGGAAGGAUCACCUACAUAUUCUAAUACACACUCUCGAAAGCGGCUGAGUCGAAAGAGACCGUCGAACGCCUAGAUAUGAGCCAAUCCAUGACAUAACAAGCACAUGCCAUCAAUGGCAGAAGAUAUAUUAAAAGGAAUCACAUCCAUCUCCAAAAUGAACAAAAUAUCUGUAAAAAAAGGCAAUACUAAUAGAAAAAGAUAUUUGCGAAAUCAAUCAAAUUAACUAGAUUUAGUUUGAAAAUACAAAGAUAAAAAAAAAUUAAAGAUAAUUAAAUUCACACCGCUAAUCCACAUAUCCUAAACUUCCAUACUCAAAUUCAUUCUAGAUCUAUCAUUAAAAUUGAUUUG
Molecule: long non-coding RNA, 825 nt
Filed under: Brassica napus (rape)
Lineage: Eukaryota; Viridiplantae; Streptophyta; Magnoliopsida; Brassicales; Brassicaceae
Description: long non-coding RNA (BNAP_LNC021791)
Source: RNAcentral